GGGAGGUGGGAGUCAUCCCAAAUCUCCUCUCUAAGCUCCUAACAACUCUCAAACCUGGUCCCUGUUUCCAUGGCCAUCUCCGCACCGUGUUAGCUCAGGUCCAGUCCUCCAUAUUAAUACUGAAGGAAUUUCUCCACACAUCUGAACAACUGCCCAUCUCUCUCCAGGUCUGAGCUGUUGGGAAACGAGCGAGCAGUCGCCAACUACACAGCACUGUUCAAAAACGAAAGCUCAGGAAAGGAUGGAAAAAGACCGAGAGCUAGACAUCCACGGACCGGAGGAGAUGAUGGUGAUAUACACGCUAAUACAUGAUGCAUGUAAAGAGCUUGCCUAGCAUGUGCCAAGCCCUGGGUUCCCUCUCUAGCAGUCCCGAGUCACAGUAGGAGUGGGGAGAACCUCUGCACUGGUAAAGCUUCACCCCAACCCCAGACAUUCAUAUACCCAGAGUCUGGAAUGUUCUCGUGGAAGCUCUACCCCAAGCCUCCUCCCCAUCUCUCUCCAAAUCCUGUUGCAUCUCAGAAAGCCCGCCAAAUGAUGACCCCUCCCCCAGAGGUGCUCAAGACCACGCCCACAGUGUAUUUAGACUGUACUCCAAAAAACAGACAGGUCUUCCUUUUCGGUCUCCUUUCUGGAGGGUUGUAAAAUUA
Alexandromys fortis (reed vole) is the source of this 647-nucleotide long non-coding RNA. RefSeq lists it as uncharacterized. The transcript is spliced from 3 exons. The record is from RefSeq and is a predicted model, not a curated record. NCBI's taxonomy places the organism in Eukaryota, Metazoa, Chordata, Mammalia, Rodentia, Cricetidae.